Molecule: ribosomal RNA, 104 nt
Filed under: Castor canadensis (American beaver)
Lineage: Eukaryota; Metazoa; Chordata; Mammalia; Rodentia; Castoridae
Source: RNAcentral
AUCUAUGGCCAUACCUAAACGUGCCCCAUCUCAUCUGACCUCAGAAGCUAAGCAGGGUUGGGCCUGGUUAGUACUUGGAUGGGAGAGCUCAAACUCCGUAGCAA